UACGUAGGUGACAAGCGUUGUCCGGAUUUAUUGGGCGUAAAGAGCGUGUAGGCGGCUAGAUAGGUCCGUUGUGAAAACUCGAGGCUCAACCUCGAGACGUCGAUGGAAACCAUCUGGCUAGAGUCCGGAAGAGGAGAGUGGAAUUCCUGGUGUAGCGGUGAAAUGCGCAGAUAUCAGGAAGAACACCCGUGGCGAAGGCGGCUCUCUGGUACGUGACUGACGCUGAGACGCGAAAGCGUGGGGAGCAAACAGG
RNAcentral lists this ribosomal RNA (253 nucleotides) under uncultured bacterium. RNAcentral's name for it is "partial 16S ribosomal RNA". It matches the Rfam family "Bacterial small subunit ribosomal RNA", at positions 524 to 776 of the family's 1533-position model. The record is from RNAcentral.